RNAcentral lists this ribosomal RNA (252 nucleotides) under uncultured bacterium. Its description in RNAcentral is "partial 16S ribosomal RNA". It matches the Rfam family "Bacterial small subunit ribosomal RNA", at positions 524 to 776 of the family's 1533-position model. The record is from RNAcentral.
UACGGGGGGGCAAGCGUUGUUCGGAAUUACUGGGCGUAAAGGGCGUGUAGGCGGGUGGACAAGUCUCUCGUGAAAGCCCACGGCUCAACCGUGGAAUUGCGGGAGAUACUGUCUGUCUUGAGUCCGGGAGAGGAGGGUGGAAUUCCUAGUGUAGCGGUGAAAUGCGUAGAUAUUGGGAGGAACACCGGUGGCGAAGGCGGCUCUCUGGACCGGUACUGACGCUGAGGCGCGAAAGCUAGGGGAGCAAACGGG